CCUACGGGAGGCAGCAGUGAGGAAUAUUGGUCAAUGGGCGCGAGCCUGAACCAGCCAAGUAGCGUGAAGGAUGACUGCCCUACGGGUUGUAAACUUCUUUUAUAAAGGAAUAAAGUGAGGCACGUGCGCCUUUUUGUAUGUACUUUAUGAAUAAGGAUCGGCUAACUCCGUGCCAUCAGCCGCGGUAAUACGUAGGAUCCGAGCGUUAUCCGGUGUUAUUGGGUUUAAAGGGAGCGUAGAUGGGUUGUUAAGUCAGUUGUGAAAGUUUGCGGCUCAACCGUAAAAUUGCAAUUGAUACUGGCAGUCUUGAGUACAGUGGAGGUAGGCGGAAUUCGUGGUGUAGCGGUGAAAUGCUUAGAUAUCACGAAGAACACCGAUUGCGAAGGCAGCUUACUAAACUGCCACUGACAUUGAUGCUCGAAAGUGUGGGGAUCAAACAGGAUUAGAUACCCUGGUAGUC
Molecule: ribosomal RNA, 460 nt
Filed under: uncultured bacterium
Lineage: Bacteria
Description: partial 16S ribosomal RNA
Rfam family: Bacterial small subunit ribosomal RNA
Source: RNAcentral